CCUACGGGUGGCAGCAGUGGGGGAUAUUGCACAAUGGGGGGAACCCUGAUGCAGCGACGCCGCGUGGGUGAAGGAGCGUUUCGGCGCGUAAAGCCCUAUCUGCAGGGAAGAAAAUGACGGUACCUGACCAAGAAGCCCCGGCUAACUACGUGCCGGCAGGCGCGGUAAUACGGAGGGGGCGGGCGUUAUCCGGAUUGACUGGGUGUAAAGGGGGCGCAGACGGAAAAACAAGCGAGGAGUGAAAGCCCGGGGCACAACCCCGGGACUGCUCUUGGAACUGGAUGGCUGGAGUACAGGAGGGGCAGGCGGAAUUCCUAGUGUAGCGGUGAAAUGCGUAGAGAUUAGGAGGAACACCGGUGGCGAAGGCGGCCUGCUGGACUGUGACUGACGUUGAGGCCCGAAGGCGUGGGGAGCAAACAGGAUUAGAUACCCUUGUAGUC
RNAcentral lists this ribosomal RNA (440 nucleotides) under uncultured bacterium. RNAcentral's name for it is "partial 16S ribosomal RNA". It matches the Rfam family "Bacterial small subunit ribosomal RNA", at positions 338 to 795 of the family's 1533-position model. The record is from RNAcentral.